RNAcentral lists this ribosomal RNA (493 nucleotides) under uncultured bacterium. RNAcentral's name for it is "partial 16S ribosomal RNA". It matches the Rfam family "Bacterial small subunit ribosomal RNA", at positions 30 to 523 of the family's 1533-position model. The record is from RNAcentral.
AUUGAACGCUGGCGGCAUGCUUUACACAUGCAAGUCGAACGGUAACAGGUUAAGCUGACGAGUGGCGAACGGGUGAGUAAUGCAUCGGAACGUGCCCGGUCGUGGGGGAUAACGCAGCGAAAGCUGCGCUAAUACCGCAUACGCUCUGAGGAUGAAAGCGGGGGACCGUAAGGCCUCGCGCGAUCGGAGCGGCCGAUGUCAGAUUAGGUAGUUGGUGGGGUAAAGGCUCACCAAGCCGACGAUCUGUAGCUGGUCUGAGAGGACGACCAGCCACACUGGGACUGAGACACGGCCCAGACUCCUACGGGAGGCAGCAGUGGGGAAUUUUGGACAAUGGGCGCAAGCCUGAUCCAGCAAUGCCGCGUGCAGGAAGAAGGCCUUCGGGUUGUAAACUGCUUUUGUACGGAGCGAAAAGGUUCUCUCUAAUACAGAGGGCUCAUGACGGUACCGUAAGAAUAAGCACCGGCUAACUACGUGCCAGCCGCCGCGGUAA